CUGGCGUCAGAACGAACGACUGGCGGCGUGCUUAACACAUGCAAGUCGAACGCGAAAGGGAACUUCGGUCCUGAGUAAAGUAGGCGCACGGGUGAGUAACGCGUAGAUAACCUGUCUUCAUGUCUGGAAUAAUACGCCGAAAGGGGUACUAAUACCGGAUAUUCUUGCUUUUCAUAAGUUAUGCAAGCAAAGGUGGCCUCUGCAUAUGCUACUGCAUGAAGAGGGGUCUGCGUACCAUUAGCUAGUAGGUGGGGUAAUGGCCUACCUAGGCGACGAUGGUUAGCGGGUCUGAGAGGAUGAUCCGCCACACUGGCACUGGAACACGGGCCAGACUCCUACGGGAGGCAGCAGUGAGGAAUAUUGCGCAAUGGGGGAAACCCUGACGCAGCGACGCCGCGUGAAGUGAGGAAGGCCUUCGGGUCGUAAAGCUCUGUCAAGAGGAAAGAAGUGUACAAUGGCUAAUACCUGUUGUAUUUGACGGUACCUCUAAAGGAAGCACCGGCUAACUCCGUGCCAGCCGCCGC
Molecule: ribosomal RNA, 524 nt
Filed under: uncultured bacterium
Lineage: Bacteria
Description: bacterial SSU rRNA
Rfam family: Bacterial small subunit ribosomal RNA
Source: RNAcentral